Micropterus dolomieu (smallmouth bass) is the source of this 777-nucleotide long non-coding RNA. RefSeq lists it as uncharacterized. The transcript is spliced from 2 exons. Lineage: Eukaryota; Metazoa; Chordata; Actinopteri; Centrarchiformes; Centrarchidae. The record is from RefSeq and is a predicted model, not a curated record.
CAUCUUUCAGGGCCAACAUGCUCCUGCUGCUCCGCAGCGAGGGCUUAAGCAGCACAUCCACCAAACGCAAGAAAAAGAUCCUUAACAGUUAAAUCUGAUUUGAAGCACCUCCACACUGCACAGCUCCACCUUAUACUGCCAAGACAAUAUAUUUCCAGCCAGGCAGAAGAAAGGCUAGGCAUGUUUGUGAGCUGGAGUGGGCGCUAAAUAUUUCAAUAACAGCUCACUGACAGUGAGAAAGAGAGCAGGAGAGCAGGAGGUGCAGCAGGGCUUGGUGCUAGACGCUGUGGGAGCAGCAGUGAAGGGUGACAGGUUGGUGCCGGUGUUACAUGAGGAAGUGUCUGAAAACAUCAGCAAUCGGACGCAUAACAACACCAGGAACGUUAAAAGCGAGAAGUGGACCGAGGCCGCAUGGCACAUUGAUAAAAGAGGCAAAGGAAGGCAUCCAUUGAGUCUCCACUUAUGCUGCUGGUACAAGGUGUGCGUGUGAGCGGUAGAAAGACACGAAGAGAUGAGCUUUUACUCUCACAGACAACAUGACCAUAGCUGAGGAUGAUUGACAAUGGAGAGAGACAGAAAAGGCAUGGGAGAGAGAGGGUAUGAUAUGUAUCAAAGGGCCAAAGGUGGCCUUGAACCCAGGCCACUGUGGUAAGGACGCCUUGAGCCAGAUGAGCUACCGGGGCUUCUCCAGUAUUGAUGUUCCCAAUCUUUCCCAAACCUUAAAGUGAAACUAUGUAACUUUUGAUAGAAGAAAUAAAAACAAAAUUCUCCUUUUAA